RNAcentral lists this ribosomal RNA (381 nucleotides) under uncultured bacterium. Its description in RNAcentral is "bacterial SSU rRNA". It matches the Rfam family "Bacterial small subunit ribosomal RNA", at positions 30 to 412 of the family's 1533-position model. The record is from RNAcentral.
AUUGAACGCUGGCGGCAUGCCUUACACAUGCAAGUCGAACGGCAGCACGGGAGCAAUCCUGGUGGCGAGUGGCGAACGGGUGAGUAAUAUAUCGGAACGUGCCCAGUCGUGGGGGAUAACGUAGCGAAAGCUACACUAAUACCGCAUACGAUCCAUGGAUGAAAGCGGGGGAUCGCAAGACCUCGCGCGAUUGGAGCGGCCGAUAUCAGAUUAGGAGUUGGUGGGGUAAAAGCCCACCAAGCCGACGAUCUGUAGCUGGUCUGAGAGGACGACCAGCCACACUGGAACUGAGACACGGUCCAGACUCCUACGGGAGGCAGCAGUGGGGAAUUUUGGACAAUGGGCGAAAGCCUGAUCCAGCAAUGCCGCGUGCAGGAUGAA